GGAGGGCCCUGCUGUUUCCCAGUAAGUAAGUGCUUCUUACUGUGGCACUUCAUACCUAGAGUCCUUCCCUGUGCGGCCCAGUGGACCUCUGGUGGCUCUGUGGGCUCUGAGGGGCUCUCCCUGCUGCCCUGAGGACCACCUAGGCUCUGUGCACUCCUUUCUAGAUGCAAGUCCUCCUACUCGGGACCAUUCCAUCUGCACUUCCUGGCCUUUUCUCACUGUGGCUGCCCAUUGCUCCCCAGUCUUGCCUUUUAUCAUCUCCCUGGACUGUCCUCAUGUCCAUUCCUUGCCCCAUACCUUUCCUCUUCAUCCUCUGGCAUAAUCUGAUCAUGUCAUGCAUUCAUCUGAGCGCCUUCUUGGUUCCCACAGCUGGUGGACAGAAUGCUGUACUGUCCACGCAGCCACCGAGCGGCCUUGGUUCCCCUGCAUCCAUACCCUUUGCGUAGCACACAGCACAUGUUCUUUCUCCUCCUGGCCCUGACCUUGUCCCUGUGCAGUGGCUCUGUAGCUCUGCUUCCCGAGGGUGGUCUUCACGUGGUCCAAGUGCAGCAGUAGAGAAGUCCUUUCUUCCAUGCUCUGUCCCCACUCAUUCAUUUCUUGUUUUACUUUUUCAUGUUUCUUAUGCAUAGAUAAGUGUACAGGCUGGGGUGAUGGCUUAGUGGCAGAGCGCUUGCCUAGCACUGGGUGUGA
RNAcentral lists this long non-coding RNA (690 nucleotides) under Marmota monax (woodchuck). Lineage: Eukaryota; Metazoa; Chordata; Mammalia; Rodentia; Sciuridae. The record is from RNAcentral.